Molecule: ribosomal RNA, 189 nt
Filed under: uncultured bacterium
Lineage: Bacteria
Description: partial 16S ribosomal RNA
Rfam family: Bacterial small subunit ribosomal RNA
Source: RNAcentral
CCUACGGGAGGCAGCAGUGAGGAAUAUUGGUCAAUGGACGAGAGUCUGAACCAGCCAAGUAGCGUGAAGGAUGACUGCCCUAUGGGUUGUAAACUUCUUUUAUAUGGGAAUAAAAUGUUCCACGUGUGGGAUUUUGUAUGUACCAUAUGAAUAAGGAUCGGCUAACUCCGUGCCAGCAGCCGCGGUAAU